UGCCAGCCGCCGCGGUAAUACGGAGGGGGUUAGCGUUGUUCGGAAUUACUGGGCGUAAAGCGCACGUAGGCGGAUUAAUAAGUCAGGGGUGAAAUCCCGAGGCUCAACCUCGGAACUGCCUUUGAUACUGUUAGUCUUGAGUUCGAGAGAGGUGAGUGGAAUUCCGAGUGUAGAGGUGAAAUUCGUAGAUAUUCGGAGGAACACCAGUGGCGAAGGCGGCUCACUGGCUCGAUACUGACGCUGAGGUGCGAAAGCGUGGGGAGCAAACAGGAUUAGAUA
This 279-nucleotide ribosomal RNA is filed under the name uncultured bacterium. RNAcentral describes it as "partial 16S ribosomal RNA". It matches the Rfam family "Bacterial small subunit ribosomal RNA", at positions 506 to 784 of the family's 1533-position model. The record is from RNAcentral.